Molecule: long non-coding RNA, 498 nt
Organism: Stegostoma tigrinum
Lineage: Eukaryota; Metazoa; Chordata; Chondrichthyes; Orectolobiformes; Stegostomatidae
Exons: 2
Source: RefSeq, a predicted model, not a curated record
GCCCCAAGGAGAGAGAUGAGGGUGUCUGGGAAACAUCACAAGAUCAUGGAAGAUCAAGGAUUGUCCAUAAUCCUGUCCAUCCUGACCAUGCAGUCACGUGAUUAACCUGACUGGAUGAGUAAAACUUUUCCCUAUUGAGUAAGAAACGUGCUCUGCCCUCAAUUUCCUGCAUAUACACACUGCAAGAAGCUUCUUUCGGUACUAGUGUCUCAAAUGGUUUACUGGACAUGGCAAGCUGGAAAAUCUUUAUAAAAUCAACUUGAAAGCCGAUUCCAAACCAGUAUGUUUCGUUAUACCAAGGAAAAUCCCUCCCACCCAAUGACAGAAAAAGAAGAGAAACAAUUAGAGGACAUGGUGAACAGAGUUGUUAUCAUCCUGGUGUGUAAAUCAACAGAAUGGUGUUCAUGGAAGGUCACAGUUCCCAAGCCUAAUGACUGCAGAUGAAUCUGCAUGGGCGUCACGCAGCUCAAUAAAACAGCUGUUUUAUUAGACUCAAAA